Molecule: long non-coding RNA, 225 nt
Filed under: Medicago truncatula (barrel medic)
Lineage: Eukaryota; Viridiplantae; Streptophyta; Magnoliopsida; Fabales; Fabaceae
Description: lncRNA gene10345
Source: RNAcentral
UCAGAGAUAAAAGAAGCCACUUGAUACUCAUUGGAAGAUUAAGAAGGUUAUUAAAACACAACACCCUGAUUCAAGCAUGGAAGGAAGUUCACAGUUUGUGAAUCCAUUGUUAGUGAAUGCAGGUUUGGGAAUUCCAAGUGAUUUAGGAGAAGAAAGUGUUGGUAGCAACAACCUAGAUGGGGGGCAAUGUAAUGGAGAUGUCGAUGGAAAUGCAUACUUAGAUGA